UUUUUUUUAAUUGUUAAUGCAUUUUCAUCCAAUUUCUUAAAAAUAAUUUUUGUAUUUUUUCAACUAAAACUAAUUUUCCUUGAUCAUUUAAGAAAUUGAUUAAUCUUUUUGCAUAAAUAAUUUACAUUAUUUUUUAUUAAAAGAUGAAAAUAAAGAUAGAAUAAGAGAUAGAAUAAAGGAGAAAAGAGUGUGGAUAUAAAGGAAAAAAAAAAAGAAAAAUAAAAAACAUUACGCAGGAAAGAAGAAAAGUGGAGAGUG
This 258-nucleotide unclassified non-coding RNA is filed under the name Hevea brasiliensis (rubber tree). The record is from RNAcentral. Lineage: Eukaryota; Viridiplantae; Streptophyta; Magnoliopsida; Malpighiales; Euphorbiaceae.